GACGAACGCUGGCGGCGUGCUUAACACAUGCAAGUCGAACGGUGAAGCGCCUUCCUUUUUGGUGGGUGUGGAUGAGUGGCGAACGGGUGAGUAACACGUGAGUAACCUGCCCCCUUCUUCUGGAUAACCGCAUGAAAGUGUGGCUAAUACGGGAUAUUCUGGGUCUGUCGCAUGAUGGGUCUGGGAAAGAUAUUGUUUCGGUGGGGGAUGGGCUCGCGGCCUAUCAGCUUGUUGGUGGGGUGAUGGCCUACCAAGGCGGUGACGGGUAGCCGGCCUGAGAGGGUGGACGGUCACACUGGGACUGAGACACGGCCCAGACUCCUAAGGGAGACAGCAGUGGGGAAUAUUGCACAAUGGGCGCAAGACUGAUGCAGCGACGCCGCGUGAGGGAUGGAGGCCUUCGGGUUGUGAACCUCUUUCGCCAGUGAAGCAGGCCUGCCUCGUUUGUGGGUGGGUUGACGGUAGCUGGAUAAGAAGCGCCGGCUAACUACGUG
Molecule: ribosomal RNA, 494 nt
Filed under: uncultured bacterium
Lineage: Bacteria
Description: partial 16S ribosomal RNA
Rfam family: Bacterial small subunit ribosomal RNA
Source: RNAcentral